CCGCUUUGGGAGGGGCCUGCGUCCCAUCAGCUAGUUGGUCGGGUAACGGCUGACCAAGGCGAUGACGGGUAGGGGACCUGAGAGGGUGAUCCCCCACACUGGCACUGAAACACGGGCCAG
Molecule: ribosomal RNA, 120 nt
Filed under: uncultured bacterium
Lineage: Bacteria
Description: partial 16S ribosomal RNA
Rfam family: Bacterial small subunit ribosomal RNA
Source: RNAcentral